Molecule: transfer RNA, 72 nt
Filed under: Cavia porcellus (domestic guinea pig)
Lineage: Eukaryota; Metazoa; Chordata; Mammalia; Rodentia; Caviidae
Rfam family: tRNA
About the family: Transfer RNA (tRNA) molecules are approximately 80 nucleotides in length. Their secondary structure includes four short double-helical elements and three loops (D, anti-codon, and T loops).
Source: Rfam by way of RNAcentral
GGGGGUGUUGCUCAGUGGUAGAGCAAAUGCUUAGCAUGUUCAGGAUUCUGGGUUUGAUCCCCAGUACCCUGA